RNAcentral lists this transfer RNA (94 nucleotides) under Staphylococcus phage vB_SauM-UFV_DC4. Its description in RNAcentral is "tRNA-Phe". The record is from RNAcentral. Lineage: Duplodnaviria; Heunggongvirae; Uroviricota; Caudoviricetes.
AAUAUCUUUGAACGUGUUAAAGAUUCAAUCUUUAUUAAAGUUAAAGAAUACGGUAAAUUUACAGGACGUCUUGUUCAAUUACAACAAGAUAUUA